GGGCCAGCUUAGCCUAGCGGUUACUUCGGAUAAUCUUUGCAGAUUCACCAAUUGCCUAACGGCGGUUCGAUACUCCGCGGGUGCUGUCUGGCUUUUUU
Molecule: vault RNA, 98 nt
Filed under: Podarcis muralis (Common wall lizard)
Lineage: Eukaryota; Metazoa; Chordata; Lepidosauria; Squamata; Lacertidae
Description: Vault RNA (ENSPMRG00000004675.1)
Rfam family: Vault RNA
About the family: This family of RNAs are found as part of the enigmatic vault ribonucleoprotein complex.
Source: Rfam by way of RNAcentral